RNAcentral lists this ribosomal RNA (253 nucleotides) under uncultured bacterium. RNAcentral describes it as "partial 16S ribosomal RNA". It matches the Rfam family "Bacterial small subunit ribosomal RNA", at positions 524 to 776 of the family's 1533-position model. The record is from RNAcentral.
UACGAAGGGGGCAAGCGUUGUUCGGAUUUACUGGGCGUAAAGGGCGCGUAGGCGGAAUGACAAGUCAGAGGUGAAAGCCCUGGGCUCAACCCGGGAAUUGCCUUUGGGAUUGUCGUGCUAGAGUUCGGAAGAGGAUGGCGGAAUACCCAGUGUAGAGGUGAAAUUCGUAGAGAUUGGGGAGAACACCGGUGGCGAAGGCGGCCAUCUGGUCCGACACUGACGCUGAGGCGCGAAAGAGUGGGGAGCAAACAGG